UACGUAGGGUGCGAGCGUUAAUCGGAAUUACUGGGCGUAAAGCGUGCGCAGGCGGUUGUGCAAGACAGAUGUGAAAUCCCCGGGCUUAACCUGGGAACUGCAUUUGUGACUGCACGGCUAGAGUGUGUCAGAGGGGGUAGGAAUUCCACGUGUAGCAGUGAAAUGCGUAGAUAUGUGGAGGAAUACCGAUGGCGAAGGCAGCCCCCUCGGGAGUAAC
RNAcentral lists this ribosomal RNA (217 nucleotides) under uncultured bacterium. RNAcentral describes it as "partial 16S ribosomal RNA". It matches the Rfam family "Bacterial small subunit ribosomal RNA", at positions 524 to 740 of the family's 1533-position model. The record is from RNAcentral.